UCAUGGGUGGAAUAAACAUAUGGCAGGACCUUUACUUUACUGACCCCUGGGAAGAAGCAAGUAUAGGUCUCUGCAGGAAAGUAAUGGGAGUUACCAGAUCAGGGUGUUUUUAGACCAUGAUACCUGAUUGGCUGACAUCAUAGUGAUGGUAGGUUUAGGUAAGGGGGAUCAUUUUGGCUGCAUGAUUUAGAAACACCCAGCAGUUUGAAAACACCCACAAGGUCAUAAACGCCUGCUUUUGCUCUGCAGAGACCUAAGUCUCGGGAGAAGGGUCUGUCUGCAGACUGCAAGAGAGGGGCGUAACUUGAAGAGGGCGUAACUUGAACAAGGGGGCGUAACUUGAAGUUGUCCAAAUCACACAGAACCACGCGAGAUGUCAAAAUGAGAUGUUGUGUUGUGAGAUGUUGGGCAGUGUUCGAAACUGCAUACUCUCUAAGUAGGCACUAAAUUUCAAUUAGUACUAACUUAACGAGCGCUAAAAGAGUACAAACUCUACAGCCUGAAUGCGUGAAGUAUUGAUGCGAUUUGGAUAUCAUCCACUAUGUUGUCAUUAUCAUGUGACCUACGAUGUUAAAACAAGCACAACAACUUAAAAGAUAUGAGUGACAGGUUUAAUUAAUCUAACUGUAAUCUUAUGUAACCGGGUGGUAUUAGCGUGUGGGAUACGCAAGGAGUGCACUUCCCCUUUAAGAGAGCGUCUGCAAAUGAUGACGCACUAAGAGUGCGAUAUAGAGACAGACCGUUUAAGCAGUGCAGGAGAGAAGGCAAUAGUGUAUCAUCCUAGGGGAUUUGGAUGAACGGAGAUUGUGUGAUAUUGCACGUGACAAGUGUUCCGGAUUCUCAGAAUUCGGAAACGUUGAUCAGCUGGCAAGAAGAUCUUGCCUUUGGAGAAGACUGUUGAUUUUAUACUCUAAAAAUAUGGUGAACCCACAUCCUACUGCCAUCUCAACACAGCUGUGCCAAUUCUGCAGCUGCGCUGUGCUUCACAAUCUCACUAUUCUCAAUGGGGACAUUGUUGAGCAAGAGGAUGAGGAAGACCAUGACGACCCCUCUCUGAACCACACAACCUUGAAGCAAGUGCAGGGAACACGUGCGGGACAAUCUGGCUGCUGCUGUGUCUGCUCCAAACAUUUGUGUGCCUGCUCUCCAUGAGCAUGACUACACUCUAAAAAAUGCUGGG
Molecule: long non-coding RNA, 1180 nt
Organism: Cyprinus carpio (common carp)
Lineage: Eukaryota; Metazoa; Chordata; Actinopteri; Cypriniformes; Cyprinidae
Exons: 4
Source: RefSeq, a predicted model, not a curated record